UACGGAGGGUGCGAGCGUUGUUCGGAAUCACUGGGCGUAAAGCGCGUGUAGGCGGCCCACUAAGUCUGAUGUGAAAGCCCGGGGCUCACCCCCGGAAGUGCAUUGGAAACUGGUGGACUCGAGUCCCGGAGAGGAGAGUGGAAUUCCUGGUGUAGCGGUGAAAUGCGUAGAUAUCAGGAGGAGCACCGGUGGCGAAGGCGGCUCUCUGGACGGUGACUGACGCUGAGACGCGAAAGCGUGGGGAGCAAACAGG
This 253-nucleotide ribosomal RNA is filed under the name uncultured bacterium. RNAcentral's name for it is "partial 16S ribosomal RNA". It matches the Rfam family "Bacterial small subunit ribosomal RNA", at positions 524 to 776 of the family's 1533-position model. The record is from RNAcentral.